GACGAACGCUGGCGGCGUGCCUAAUACAUGCAAGUAGACGAACGGGUGAGUAACGCGUAGGUAACCUACCUCAUAGCGGGGGAUAACUAUUGGAAACGAUAGCUAAUACCGCAUAAGAGAGACUAACGCAUGUUAGUAAUUUAAAAGGGGCAAUUGCUCCACUAUGAGAUGGACCUGCGUUGUAUUAGCUAGUUGGUGAGGUAAAGGCUCACCAAGGCGACGAUACAUAGCCGACCUGAGAGGGUGAUCGGCCACACUGGGACUGAGACACGGCCCAGACUCCUACGGGAGGCAGCAGUAGGGAAUCUUCGGCAAUGGGGGCAACCCUGACCGAGCAACGCCGCGUGAGUGAAGAAGGUUUUCGGAUCGUAAAGCUCUGUUGUUAGAGAAGAAUGAUGGUGGGAGUGGAAAAUCCACCAAGUGACGGUAACUAACCAGAAAGGGACGGCUAACUACGUGCCAGC
This 464-nucleotide ribosomal RNA is filed under the name Streptococcus pyogenes. RNAcentral's name for it is "bacterial SSU rRNA". It matches the Rfam family "Bacterial small subunit ribosomal RNA", at positions 28 to 512 of the family's 1533-position model. Lineage: Bacteria; Bacillati; Bacillota; Bacilli; Lactobacillales; Streptococcaceae. The record is from RNAcentral.